MicroRNA precursor from Gossypium arboreum, 146 nucleotides. It matches the Rfam family "MIR7502 microRNA precursor family". Lineage: Eukaryota; Viridiplantae; Streptophyta; Magnoliopsida; Malvales; Malvaceae. The record is from Rfam.
UGUUAAAAUUUUUUAUCAAGUUCUACUAUUAAAAACUAGUAUAAUUAAUAAAAAAACCAGAUCAUUACACGUGGCAUUCCAUGUGUACAUCAUUUUAACGUACAAGAACUAGUUUUUAACAAUAGAAAUGGAUGAAAUUUUUAACA